This is a long non-coding RNA of Poecilia latipinna (sailfin molly), 2101 nucleotides long. RefSeq lists it as uncharacterized. NCBI's taxonomy places the organism in Eukaryota, Metazoa, Chordata, Actinopteri, Cyprinodontiformes, Poeciliidae. The record is from RefSeq and is a predicted model, not a curated record. The transcript has 3 exons.
GUCUUUGUUUGGAUAUAAAGUGACAGAUGCUCAUUGUGAACUGAGCAGUCUGAAAUCUCAAUAUCCAAGAAAGAUUUGGGGCACAAAAAUGAAAUGAACACGUUUUGUAUAGACCAUAAAUCUAUCCUAACCUGUACACGGAUUCAUAAUAGGUCACCUUUAGUUCACCUACUUUCUGUCUUUUCUGUCAUAUAAUCCUCCCUGCUGUGUGAGUCAGUGUGCAGGUUUAAGGAAAGCCAAAACAUCAGCCUGCAGACAUUAAGUAAACGGCCAAGAUCGUCUCCUCUGAUUGGGUGGAUAUAAGUUACCUGGUUUGAUUUCAUUCUGGGUGAAUUUCAUCCACACUGCUCAUGGUUCUGUCUGCAGAGGACUGGCCAUAAAAGGGCAGACAGACAAAAAGACACACUCUCCAUACCGCUGCUGUCUGCUCAGUCACAUGCUGUCAGCGUGGACCGACACGUUUCCCCACACAUGAGCUCUGCCUCCCCACCUAUCUUGUUUUUCUCUCUCUUCUCGAUUUUUAGAUUCUGUUUUGACGUUCCGCCUGCUGUUUAUUCUUUUCCCUUUUUGUGUUGCUAUUGUGGUUCCCUGUGUUUCCACUUCCAUGCCUCUUGCAGGGAAACAUGGGCAUCCGCGCGGCCCGAGCAGAGCCAUUUAAUUUGGGCCUCAUUUUUUCCAUGACACGGAGCAUAAACAAUCUGGACCCAGCAGAACGCCUCGUUAAGCGGCCGCUGCCUGCCGCCAUUUCCCCGCCCGGUCCAGUGAAGCUGCUGCCGCUGCAGCGAGGCGUCCCUCAGUGGAGGUUUUGGCGUUGGAACGGCCUGGUCGUGAUUCAAGCCUGAUGGGCCGACUGGAUGCAGCUCAGACGUGAAACUGAAACCGUGUUCUGGGAUCUACACCUUUUACGGAGGGAAAUGAGAGGGACACGGCGGCGCUAACUGGAGCGUCACAUUCUGUCCUCCUGACCGAAAUUAUACACACCAGGGGACGCACCAUUAUGUGGUCCAUGUUCUCCAUUAAUGGGCUCUUCUGUGGCCAACAUUAUGUCAGAGAGAAAUUUGAACGAAGCAGCCAGAACCGCCAUGAUGCAGGUGAGAAAAACAGACAGUAAAAGGCCAGAAUCAGGGCAGAUCCAAGACUCUUUGGGGCCCUAAGCAGGUUUUCAUUUGAGACCCCCUACCAAAGUGUCAACAUCAGAUUCUGUGUGUAGCAUACCUGCUAUCAUUAGCAUCAUUUGUAAUUAGCUGACAUCAUACCAGUGUAAUUAUGGCUGUUGAUUUUAACAUUACAAGAACUAAAAAAAUACAUUUUUAUUUUAUUAUUUUAACUAUUUUAAAUUAGCAUCAGCUAAUAAAUACUAAAUUUGCAGCAACGGCAGCAGGAAGAAAUCAACCUAUUUGUGGAAAUAACAUGGAAAUUGUUUUUCCAUGUGUAACAGUAUUUUGUUUGUGUUAUUCACUGGUAUUUAAGUAUAUUUAUCAUGCUAGCUUUGUGCUCAAGUUAAGCAGCCACUUAACUCCCAUAUGCUUUGGGCCGACUGAGAACUGAAUUAUUUCUAAAUAAUACAACUAGUUCCUGUAGUUGCAUCUUUGCAAACUGUGAUAAUUCUUCAGCGUUUUGCCUGAUUUGCCUCUCAGAUCUCUGAUUGGACAGAUCAUCAGAGGUUACACAAUCAUUCUCCACUGUUGUCCACUCAUAUCCAGAGGAGAGAACCUUGUGUGAUGCUGCGAAACGUAAUGAAUGAACACUAAAGAUUAACUGUGUUUGCAUGCUCUCACUAAUCUGACCACUGGCAGAACUCCAGUUGAGUCCAUGAAGUUUCCAUGCUGCAGGCUCUGAUAUAAUGUGAACGUGGGCCAAGCAUGCUAACUGGGUUUCCGCUAAUUGGAUCUAUUCAUUCACAGAAAACAGAGAAUCCAGUUUAUUCAGCUAAGUUUAGUGAAGCACAGGCCGCUCUCUGUGACUGAAAACAGCAUCUGUUGCUAUGACUGUAAAAUCAACCCGCCGUUAUCAGAGCCUGAACGGGUUUUGAGAUAAAUCUCAGAAAUUUUCUAGAAAAAAUAAGGAAAUUUCUAAGUUUGAAAUGUAUAAAAUGUGCUAA